UCUUUUUGUUUUUAAAAGACCUUCUUAUGAAGGUAUGCUUAAAGAGGGGCUUGCGCCACAUUAGUUAGUUGGUAGAGUAAAAGCCUACCAAGACGAUGAUGUGUAGCUGGACUGAGAGGUUGAACAGCCACAUUGGGACUGAGACACGGCCCAAACUCCUACGGGAGGCAGCAGUAGGGAAUUUUCGGCAAUGGAGGAAACUCUGACCGAGCAACGCCGCGUGAACGAUGAAGUAUUUCGGUAUGUAAAGUUCUUUUAUUGAAGAAGAAAAAGUAGUGGAAAAACUAUAUUGACGUUAUUCAAUGAAUAAGCCCCGGCUAACUAUGUGCCAGCAGCCGCGGUAAGACAUAGGGGGCGAGCGUUAUCCGGAAUUAUUGGGCGUAAAGGGUGCGUAGGCUGUUAGAUAAGUCUAUAAUUUAAUUUCAGUGCUUAACGCUGUCUUGUUAUAGAAACUGUCUUGACUAGAGUGAGAUAGAGGCAAGCGGAAUUCCAUGUGUAGCGGUAAAAUGUGUAAAUAUAUGGAGGAACACCAGAAGCGUAGGCGGCUUGCUGGGUCUUUACUGACGCUGAGGCACGAAAGCGUGGGUAGCAAACAGGAUUAGAUACCCUGGUAGUCCACGCCGUAAACGAUGAGUACUAAGUGUCGGGGUAAAACUCGGUACUGAAGUUAACACAUUAAGUACUCCGCCUGAGUAGUACGUACGCAAGUAUGAAACUUAAAGGAAUUGACGGGACUCCGCACAAGCGGUGGAUCAUGUUGUUUAAUUCGAAGAUACACGAAAAAUCUUACCAGGUCUUGACAUACUCUGCAAAGCUAUAGAAAUAUAGUGGAGGUUAUCAGGGAUACAGGUGGUGCAUGGUUGUCGUCAGUUCGUGUCGUGAGAUGUUAGGUUAAGUCCUAAAACGAGCGCAACCCUUGUCGUUAAUUGCCAGCACGUAAUGGUGGGGACUUUAACGAGACUGCCAAUUAAACAUUGGAGGAAGGUGAGGAUUACGUCAAAUCAUCAUGCCCCUUAUGAUCUGGGCUACAAACGUGAUACAAUGGCUGUGACAAAGAGUAGCUGAAACGCGAGUUUUUAGCCAAUCUCAAAAAAGCAGUCUCAGUUCGGAUUGAAGUCUGUAACUCGACUUCAUGAAGUUGGAAUCGCUAGUAAUCGCGAAUCAGCAUGUCGCGGUGAAUACGUUCUCGGGGUUUGUACAC
RNAcentral lists this ribosomal RNA (1201 nucleotides) under Candidatus Phytoplasma trifolii. RNAcentral's name for it is "bacterial SSU rRNA". It matches the Rfam family "Bacterial small subunit ribosomal RNA", at positions 181 to 1388 of the family's 1533-position model. The record is from RNAcentral. Lineage: Bacteria; Bacillati; Mycoplasmatota; Mollicutes; Acholeplasmatales; Acholeplasmataceae.